UGUCGACGAUGACAAAUCCAAAGGCUUGUUUCUCAAAACAUUCGCAGUGGCCGACUAAGAUCUUCGCCUUCGCUGGGCUUGAGAGAUUGUGCUGCUUCUUUCCUUCCUUGGAUGUCUGAGAUU
This is a small nucleolar RNA of Rhododendron vialii, 123 nucleotides long. RefSeq annotates it as small nucleolar RNA SNORD14. Lineage: Eukaryota; Viridiplantae; Streptophyta; Magnoliopsida; Ericales; Ericaceae. The record is from RefSeq and is a predicted model, not a curated record. The transcript has a single exon.